GUGCUGUAUGAAAGAAGGGAGAGUGAGCACUCCGCUUGAUAAGGAUGGAAGGGACCCGAGUGUCCUUACAACUCACAACUGGUCAAGGCAUUGCCAUCUACUUAGUCACAUCUCACCAUAAUUUUGG
Pristis pectinata (smalltooth sawfish) is the source of this 127-nucleotide small nuclear RNA. The record is from RefSeq and is a predicted model, not a curated record. Lineage: Eukaryota; Metazoa; Chordata; Chondrichthyes; Rhinopristiformes; Pristidae.